UACGGGGGGGGCAAGCGUUGUUCGGAAUUACUGGGCGUAAAGGGCUCGUAGGUGGCCAACUAAGUCAGACGUGAAAUCCCCAGGCUCAACCUGGGAACUGCGUCCGAUACUGGAUGGCUUGAAUCCGGGAGAGGGAUGCAGAAUUCCAGGUGUAGCGGUGAAAUGCGUAGAUAUCUGGAGGAAUACCGGUGGCGAAGGCGGCAUCCUGGGCCGGCAUUGACGCUGAGGAGCGAAAGCCAGGGGAGCAAACGGG
Molecule: ribosomal RNA, 253 nt
Filed under: uncultured bacterium
Lineage: Bacteria
Description: partial 16S ribosomal RNA
Rfam family: Bacterial small subunit ribosomal RNA
Source: RNAcentral